UACGUAGGGAGCGAGCGUUGUCCGGAUUUACUGGGCGUAAAGGGCGCGUAGGUGGUCCAUUAAGUUAUAGGUGAAAGCCCGGGGCUCAACCCCGUGAUUGCCUGUGAUACUGGUGGACUUGAGUGCAGGAGAGGGGAGCAGAAUUCCCAGUGUAGCGGUGAAAUGCGUAGAUAUUGGGAGGAAUACCAGUGGCGAAGGCGGCUCUCUGGACUGUAACUGACACUGAGGCGCGAAAGCGUGGGUAGCGAACAGG
RNAcentral lists this ribosomal RNA (253 nucleotides) under uncultured bacterium. Its description in RNAcentral is "partial 16S ribosomal RNA". It matches the Rfam family "Bacterial small subunit ribosomal RNA", at positions 524 to 776 of the family's 1533-position model. The record is from RNAcentral.